GACGAACGCUGGCGGCGUGCCUAAUACAUGCAAGUAGAACGCUGAAGAGAGGAGCUUGCUCUUCUUGGAUGAGUUGCGAACGGGUGAGUAACGCGUAGGUAACCUGCCUUGUAGCGGGGGAUAACUAUUGGAAACGAUAGCUAAUACCGCAUAACAAUGGAUGACACAUGUCAUUUAUUUGAAAGGGGCAAUUGCUCCACUACAAGAUGGACCUGCGUUGUAUUAGCUAGUAGGUGAGGUAACGGCUCACCUAGGCGACGAUACAUAGCCGACCUGAGAGGGUGAUCGGCCACACUGGGACUGAGACACGGCCCAGACUCCUACGGGAGGCAGCAGUAGGGAAUCUUCGGCAAUGGGGGCAACCCUGACCGAGCAACGCCGCGUGAGUGAAGAAGGUUUUCGGAUCGUAAAGCUCUGUUGUAAGUCAAGAACGAGUGUGAGAGUGGAAAGUUCACACUGUGACGGUAGCUUACCAGAAAGGGACGGCUAACUACGUGCCAGCAGCCGCGGUAAUACGUAGGUCCCGAGCGUUGUCCGGAUUUAUUGGGCGUAAAGCGAGCGCAGGCGGUUUGAUAAGUCUGAAGUUAAAGGCUGUGGCUCAACCAUAGUUCGCUUUGGAAACUGUCAAACUUGAGUGCAGAAGGGGAGAGUGGAAUUCCAUGUGUAGCGGUGAAAUGCGUAGAUAUAUGGAGGAACACCGGUGGCGAGAGCGGCUCUCUGGUCUGUAACUGACGCUGAGGCUCGAAAGCGUAGGGAGCGAACAGG
RNAcentral lists this ribosomal RNA (765 nucleotides) under uncultured Streptococcus sp. RNAcentral describes it as "bacterial SSU rRNA". It matches the Rfam family "Bacterial small subunit ribosomal RNA", at positions 28 to 776 of the family's 1533-position model. Lineage: Bacteria; Bacillati; Bacillota; Bacilli; Lactobacillales; Streptococcaceae. The record is from RNAcentral.